AAAUUGAAGAGUUUGAUCAUGGCUCAGAUUGAACGCUGGCGGCAGGCCUAACACAUGCAAGUCGAGCGGAAACGAGUUACCUGAACCUU
RNAcentral lists this ribosomal RNA (89 nucleotides) under Vibrio parahaemolyticus. RNAcentral's name for it is "partial 16S ribosomal RNA". It matches the Rfam family "Bacterial small subunit ribosomal RNA", at positions 1 to 89 of the family's 1533-position model. Lineage: Bacteria; Pseudomonadati; Pseudomonadota; Gammaproteobacteria; Vibrionales; Vibrionaceae. The record is from RNAcentral.